GGGGCAAUAGACAUGCAGUCGAACGACUUAACUCAUUCUUUUAGAUUGAGAGCGGUUAGUGGCGGACUGGUGAGUAACGCGUAAGGAACCUGCCUUUUAGAGGGGAAUAACAAUGAGAAAUCAUCGCUAAUACCGCAUAUGCCAUAAUUAUCACAUGAUAAUAGUGGGAAAGGAGCAAUUCGCUAAAAGAUGGCCUUGCGUCUGAUUAGAUAGUUGGUAAGGUAACGGCUUACCAAGUCGACGAUCAGUAGCCGGACUGAGAGGUUGAACGGCCACAUUGGGACUGAGAUACGGCCCAGACUCCUACGGGAGGCAGCAGUCGGGAAUAUUGCGCAAUGGAGGAAACUCUGACGCAGUGACGCCGCGUAUAGGAAGAAGGUUUUCGGAUUGUAAACUAUUGUCGUUAGGGAAGAGAAAGGACAGUACCUAAGGAGGAAGCUCCGGCUAACUACGUGCCAGCAGCCGCGGUAAUACGUAGGGAGCGAGCGUUAUCCGGAAUUAUUGGGUGUAAAGGGUGCGUANACGGGAAAGCAAGUUAGUUGUGAAAUCCCUCGGCUUAACUGAGGAACUGCAACUAAAACUACUUUUCUUGAGUGCAGGAGAGGUAAGUGGAAUUCCUAGUGUAGCGGUGAAAUGCGUAAAUAUUAGGAGGAACACCAGUGGCGAAGGCGACUUACUGGACUGUAACUGACGUUGAGGCACGAAAGUGUGGGGAGCAAACAGGAUUAAAUACCCUGGUAAUCCACACCC
Molecule: ribosomal RNA, 750 nt
Filed under: uncultured bacterium
Lineage: Bacteria
Description: bacterial SSU rRNA
Rfam family: Bacterial small subunit ribosomal RNA
Source: RNAcentral